Long non-coding RNA from Astatotilapia calliptera (eastern happy), 2098 nucleotides. The record is from Ensembl. Lineage: Eukaryota; Metazoa; Chordata; Actinopteri; Cichliformes; Cichlidae.
AGGACGGUGUGUGUGUGCGCAGACGAGCUGUGUUUGACUCCACUGAGCCCAAAGGGUUUCGGAGGGUGGAGUGACUCAUAUCUCACCCUUGGGCUCUGACUCUCAAAAUGCAUUUAUUCCGCUUUUCCCUUCUAACCUUUUUUUUUUCUCCAGUGUUCGUUUUUAUAUCUCAUCAGCAAACUUCACUGCGAUCUGAACUCGGGAGCGAUUUAAAAUCAUCUUUCCACAUCAUGUUGAGUGUAAGAAGAGGGAGGGGGAGUGGGGAUGACGAAAAGCGAGACAGACAGGCAGACAGACGAGCAACGGCGAGGGCAGAGAAUGGAGCAAUUGCUAAAGGCUCAUUCAUUCUGACAGUGUUCAUGGCACCAGUCAGAGCGUCCCAAAAGACAGAAGGAGGAUGGACCAGACCUCUGACACACAGACAGCCUGUCCUCGCUGACCGGCUUCACCUCAUCUGAACAGGCGGUCGCACUGGGAGACUUAUCCGGGUUCUGAGGAGAGGGUUGAUACGACAGCCACAUAGUUUUACAAUUUGCAUUCGAGCAGCCUGAGCAUUUUCAUAACCUUUUCAUGUCAUUUGCCUAUAUUUUGUUUUUCUGAUGACUUUCCGUCUGAAUUCAAUCGCCAAACCACAACAACAGCCGCCUCAAGGCGUUUUAUAUUGUAAGGUAGACCCUACAAUAAUACAUACAGGAAGAAACCUCUGGCAGAACCAGACUCAGGGAGGGGCGGGGCCAUCUACCGUGACCGGUUGAGGUGAGAGAAGGAAGACAGGAUAAAGACUUGUACAGUAACGUGUGUUACAUUACAGCUGCUGCUGUUAGCUAGCUAGCAUUGGCAGAGAUGUAGUUCUUUUUAAUUUAACUGAACACAAAAAUAAUAACUAAUACAUUAAUAUCAAAUAAUAAUACUUUCAGCCGAGACAGGACUCACAUAUUCUUAUAUCAUGCCUGAUCCUUCUGACUUCACUGCGGCACAAGUCACUUUAACACCCCACUUACACAAUGUGCAUUCACAAAUUUCGAAGUGUAAAUUUCCAGAUUGUUUUAUUUUAUUUAACUUACUUAAUGUAUAUAAUUCACUCACUUAUUGCACAUAAUGUCCUCUUUGUAUAUAUUUACUUACUUACUGUAUAUAAUGUUUUCUCUCUCUUUUUCGCACAGUCGAGGAGCGUAUUAGGUCACAUUUCACUGUGUGUUAUACUCGUAUAACUAUUCACGUGACAAAUAAAAGAUCUUGAAUCUUGAAAAAUAAAUAUGACUGAAUAUUACACAAGCACGUGAACAAAAAAACACAAGGCUGACAAAGCCGGCCUGACACGAGGUACAGAAAAUAUCUACUGCACAGUCUAUAGUCUGAGCCCAGCAUCACAGAUUUGGGUUCUUUGAUCAAACCAACUCUAGGUUUCCUUCACUUCACGUGGUUGAUGGUACCUUUUCAAAAAUUAGCAAUCAUCACUUAGCCUUGAUUUGUAGAGGGGUUCCUAAUCAAACUAUACUACUUUUUUUUCUCUGUUAAAAGAAAUCAAAUGAUCAAUCGCUUAUCAAACUGGCAAUUAAUCAAUGUCAGUCAACUCAUGCGUUAACUAAUUCGUUUCAAGGGGAAGUAAUGAAGCUGAGUUGUUUAUUUGAGGUCAACAACUCCUUGAAUAUACUCAGUACGCAAUUAGGUGAAUCGAGCCUUGAUAUGUUCUAUUAAUUGUACAGGUGAGGUGUUGAGAAAUCUCCAUAAUUAUCAUUAAAAAACUAAUGUUAUAAGGCUUUGGGGGAUACUUGCCUCAUUUUUUUUUAAAUAAAAAAUAUGACAGCUGGUAUUAAUCCUGAUUUAAUUGUCUUCCUUUCAUGGGAUUACUGAUAUCCUGUUUCAAAUCAAAAUUUCACUUCUCCUUUUUCCUUUUCCUCAUCUUUCUUGUCAUGUUAUGAGAGCAGAGCACUCACCAGUGCCGCACUUUUUUCAACCUUUGCAUCUAAAGCCUUAUUAUUUUUAAAAGCUACUUAACUGUUACAUUUAUCAGUCAUAUCAAAUGUUUACAUCUGCAAUAGUCAUACUCAUGCAUUUAGGGAAAAAGUGAACUUUCCAUGUAUCAUUUACCUAUCUA